CCGACGGUGAGAGGUGAAAGCUGGGGGAGCAAACCGGAUUAGAUACCCGGGUAGUCCCAGCCGUAAACGAUGUGCGUUAGGUGUAUCGGUGACCACGAGUCACCGAGGUGCCGAAGAGAAAUCGUGAAACGUACCGCCUGGGAAGUACGGUCGCAGGGCUGAAACUUAAAGGAAUUGGCGGGGGAGCACCACAACAGGUGGAGCCUGCGGUUUAAUCGGACUCAACGCCGGGAAACUCACCAGAUAAGACAGCUGAAUGAUAGUCGGGCUGAAGACUCUACUUGACUAGCUGAGAGGAGGUGCAUGGCCGUCGUCAGUUCGUACUGUGAAGCAUCCUGUUAAGUCAGGCAACGAGCGAGACCCACGCCAACAGUUGCU
Molecule: ribosomal RNA, 378 nt
Filed under: uncultured archaeon
Lineage: Archaea
Description: bacterial SSU rRNA
Rfam family: Archaeal small subunit ribosomal RNA
Source: RNAcentral